This 66-nucleotide transfer RNA is filed under the name Tylosema esculentum (marama bean). RNAcentral describes it as "tRNA-Val". It matches the Rfam family "tRNA". From Rfam's summary of the family: Transfer RNA (tRNA) molecules are approximately 80 nucleotides in length. Their secondary structure includes four short double-helical elements and three loops (D, anti-codon, and T loops). The record is from RNAcentral. Lineage: Eukaryota; Viridiplantae; Streptophyta; Magnoliopsida; Fabales; Fabaceae.
AGGGCUAUAGCUCAGUUAGGUAGAGCACCUCCGAGAAGGUCUACGGUUCGAGUCCGUAUAGUCCUA